AUCGAACGCUAGCGGGAUGCUUUACACAUGCAAGUCGAACGAGUGGCGGACGGGUGAGCAAUAUAUCGGAACGUGCCCAGUAGCGGGGGAUAAAUGCUCGAAAGAGUAGCUAAUAGCGCACACUACUCGAUCGGCCGCUAUCGGAUUAGCUAGUUGGUGGGGUAAAGGCUCACCAAGGCAACGAUCCGUAGCUGGUUUGAGAGGACGACCAGCCACACUGGGACUGAGACACGGCCCAGACUCCUACGGGAGGCAGCAGUGGGGAAUUUUGGACAAUGGGGGAAACCCUGAUCCAGCCAUCCCGCGUGUAUGAGAAGGCCUUCGGGUUGUAAAGUACUUUCAGUCGGGAGGCGUUACCGACAGAAGAAGCACCGGCUAACUCCGUGCCAGCAGCCGCGGUAAUAC
This 405-nucleotide ribosomal RNA is filed under the name uncultured bacterium. RNAcentral's name for it is "partial 16S ribosomal RNA". It matches the Rfam family "Bacterial small subunit ribosomal RNA", at positions 30 to 526 of the family's 1533-position model. The record is from RNAcentral.